This 328-nucleotide ribosomal RNA is filed under the name uncultured eukaryote. RNAcentral's name for it is "partial 18S ribosomal RNA". It matches the Rfam family "Eukaryotic small subunit ribosomal RNA", at positions 1470 to 1796 of the family's 1831-position model. The record is from RNAcentral.
CCCUUAGAUGUUCUGGGCCGCACGCGCGCUACACUGAUGAAUUCAACGAGCUCCUAACCUAGGCCGAAGGGUCCGGGUAAUCUUUGAAAUUUCAUCGUGAUGGGGAUAGAUUAUUGCAAUUAUUAAUCUUCAACGAGGAGUUCCUAGUAAGCGCGAGUCAUCAGCUCGCGUUGAUUACGUCCCUGCCCUUUGUACACACCGCCCGUCGCUCCUACCGAUUGGAUGUUCCGGUGAAAUCUUCGGACUGUGCUCUUGUGGCGGUUCGCCGUUACUUGAGCGUGGAAAGUUGCUUAAACCUUAACAUCUAGAGGAAGGAGAANUCGUANCA